AUCUUUUACGCCUAAGCCAUUUCUGAGAAACGGGGGGAUCACGAAGAAAAGGGGAAAGGCAGCAAGCAGAAAGAUCCAUUUUUUAUGAUUUUCCGGUAUCGGAUUUCAUAUUGUAUACGGUAUUCUGUGGAAAUCACAUAGGAUGCACGCGGCGCCAUGAUCCCAUUUUCUGACGCGAAUGCUUAACCCUAGUCCCUAGUUGUUGCGCGCUGUCACCUUCUGUUCGUUUGCGGAAGAGAGAGAUCGACAGUUUGUGGUUCCGUUUGAUUGUUUCUCAGGGAGAGAUCGGGACGGAUUUCUGGAACUAGGUUCUGUUCUGUUACCUUGAAGAAGAUUUUCCAACCCUAGUUUGUUGAAGGAGGGUUGGGUUAGGUUUAGGGUGAAUCGGAGUCUGAUCCAGAUGCGAGGCCUCUGGGGAUCACGGCCUCACCCCUAUUCGUCUUGACAUCAAGUGUUUGUUGUAUAUGGAUUCACCAUUCCUGACCUCAAUCGUUAAUAAAUUCGGUUUUUUCUUCUUUUUCCUAGCAAUCGUCGUUCAGUCGCAGCAAAAUGUGAAUCCUCCCGGAUCACAGUCCCCGCCGCCGCCACCUCCAGUUUCGCCUCCUCCGCCGCCGCCGCCUGUUCAAUCUCCGCCACCACCGCCAUUGUCUCCUCCUCCUCCACCUCCAAUUUCACCUCCCCCACCGCGGCCUCCUCCCCCGCCUACCUCGCCCACCCCACCUCCACCCCCUUCCCCCACCUCCCGUCCGCGAAAAUUCUCCCCCCCUCCCCAUCACUCCGCCCGGUCUCCCCGAGAGGGCUCACAUAAAGGACACAAUGCCAAAGGAAAAAGUCAUACUUCACAUGGAAGGUCAAGCCAUUCACCAAAGGAAAAGAAACUGAAUUUGGGAAAAAAACUGGGAUUGCUAUUUGUGGGCAUUGCUGCACUUUUGCAGGUGUUUGUGGUAACAUUCUUGGUAAUCAAGAGGAGACAAUUGUUAACCGCUGAGAGCAGAUUAUAAAGACGUGUGAAAAAAAAAAAAAAGUUCAGAUUUUUUUCUUUCUUUCUUUCUGUUUAGUCUCUUUCUUUGGUGGGAGUGUUUUACACUUAACUGGAGUUGUACUGAUUGAAAUUCUUUAACGAGCGGCUUGGCAAUGAGUAAGGAUAUGAAUUGAUUCAUAACAUAACGCCUCGAUCCAUUGGAGUUUUGGCCUCCACAUCUGUUGUUGUCGCUCAUGUAAAUUGGUGAGAUAAACAAAGUUGUAGAUGAGAUCAAAUCUGAUCUGACUUGGGGGUUGUUUUGGAGAGGAGCAGGAAGACAUUUGCCUUUUCGAUUGCUUGGUGGGUGAGACAUGAAGUCCUAAGUAUUUAAUGUUGUUGGAGAAGUGUUAUCACCAAAUCUAUAUGUAAUACCCUACUAUAUAAUAUAAGGCAAUAUAUUUGUGUAGCUGAUUACAUUACAUCUACAAGUGAACAUGUAUGAAUGAAAAACUGACCCAAAACCCAGUUUCCCCAGUCCACAGAUUCUUUUCCAUUUCCAGCUUGCUGUGCAUUGAAUUUAUAGCAUUUAACCCCUUUUGGCAUCAUACUUCUAGCUGUCAACCUUAUCUUCUUCUUCCUCUUUUUCCCCUUUCUCCAAAAAUCACCCCUCCAUGUGCUUCUGCAUUCUGGUCCACAUAAGGAUUAGCUUGUUCGAUUGCCCAUAGUUGAUCGGUUCAGGUCAGACCAAUACGUUAGUCUCAUUGACAGUUAAAUUUGAAAUAUUGUGAUUUCCAGGCCAAUAGCCUGACCAACUUGAAUGUUUAAAUGGCAAACUACACCCAAUGACAACAAUGAAAGCAAUGUGAGAACUAUAUAUAUAUAUAUAUAUAUAUAUAUCCGUCUCUCGCAAUAUCAAACUAGACCCAACCCAAUCCACACCAAGGAACAAGUCAAACCAUAAAAUGGAAUCUAAACUCCCAUUUCAUGGAAGGUUAAUAAAGAAAGUGUAAAUGAAACAUCAAGAACUCCAAAAAAAAAAACAGUAAAGCAAUGACCUUAACAUAUGCCGCCUUAUGUCUGUUUUGAAAAAGACUACUAGACUAGUGCUCAAAUCCUAUUGUUUUGCCACUAUAAACAUAAUAGCAAACCAUAUUAUUAAUCAUCAAGCUUUAACUCUCUUCAUCCUGCAAUGACUAUUGAUCCAGACCCAAAUCCCCCCUCCAAUGAUCAAAUACUAGAUUGGUUCGGAGAUUCUUUAUCCUAUGAUCCAUUGUUCCUAGACAUUUUGUACGAUGAAUCUUGGUCCAUUCCAAGUCUAGGCCAACAAGAUCAGAUCAUCAACAACAAUGAUAACUUGCAGUUUAUUUGUCCACAAUCUGUCAUCCAAGAACCAACUGAGCUACCCGUGCAGGCUAACGUGCCUUGUUUCCAAGGCCUAGAGGCGUUGGAUUCGUCAAAGAAGCGAAAAGCAGCAGGUGGUGAUGGGGAAGGAGGUGUGUAACAAAGGGCUCCGGUUAGGAAACCGGGAAACAAGAAAGUGACGUGGUUUUGAGCCACCACUCCCAAGAUGACAGGUCAGAGUUCUUGAGAGGGCUGAGGAGUUUGGGUCCAAAAGGCGUCGUUUUGAGCGAGAACAAUGCAGAUUGUAGCUGCAGCCAUUGCGGGGACUUUGUCAAUGGAUUCUCCAGGAGGGUGGAGUACUUGUGGAGGUUCCUGGACUCCACAAGCGCGGCGUAUAGAGGACGUGAAAAUGAAGAAAGAAGGAUGAUGGAAGGAGAAGCAGCAAAGGCAUUGACAAAUGUGGGAGAAAUGGUGCCAGAGAAUGAUGAGUAUAAAGAGAAAU
Ipomoea nil (Japanese morning glory) is the source of this 2804-nucleotide long non-coding RNA. RefSeq lists it as uncharacterized. The transcript has 3 exons. The record is from RefSeq and is a predicted model, not a curated record. Lineage: Eukaryota; Viridiplantae; Streptophyta; Magnoliopsida; Solanales; Convolvulaceae.